CGAACACGCACGUUAUUGGAGGAGAGAGGAUUGAGUAAGAGAGCCCAAAAAUUUGAUUGGGGAAGCUGACUCCGGAUGUGCUUGACUGAACACUGAUUGGAGAACAGAGGGGUCAGGAAGCGCAGUGCCGCACGAGGAUUGGGCGGCGGCGUGUCCCAUGGAAACGGAAUCCAGAACUGCAGCCAGGGUUUUGCACGGGGGCGGAGCCGGCUCUUCCCCAGGCGCCUGCGCCUAACCGGGUCCCCGGCGCCAUUUUGUCCCGGCAGCAGCAGCCCGCAGCUCUAGCCCAUUUUCUGUGUCUGGAGGGAAGGACGCGGACUCUCUCUGAGUUGUGCUGAAGACAACAAACACCUCCUUGACAACCCAGAGUAUCACAGAGGAAAUGAAAAGCUGUGGACUCAUUCAAAGUUAAUUAAGAUUAGGUUUGACCAUGGAAACCUAGAAAAUCUUGGCUGCUGAUGUGGAAAAAGAGACCCAGAAGAACAAGAAAACAGGUGACUGGAAUGCUGGUCCCCUGUGCAGGAACAGUUCAGGAGGCUGGCUGAGUGAGACACGAGUGUUCUUGUCUUGUUGGCUGUUGGGUCCUCAUGACUUAGGAUUACAUGUCGUCCUUUCAUAUGGCAUGAAUGAGGAUUUAUAAAACCCUAUUACGGUUUGGUCAUGCAGCCCAAACAGACCUACAAAGAUUGGCAGGUAAAUUUUACCUGCUCAAGCAGAGAGCAGAGACUCAUCUUUAGCUCAUUUGUGCAUACUGCACAUUCCGUACACUUGUUACUGCAGAAAUGUCCCUACAGUGUUACCAGAGCUGGGGCAGGAAGUAAGGGAGGAAUUCCUGAGCAGGCUGACACUGACUGAUGCUGAAGGAAGCAGGAGGUGGGCGGAGCUGAGAGUGGUGAGAGCCACGGGGAAACAUGGGAUGGUAGAGGAGUCAGGAAAAGUUAGAGCUAGCUGAGACUGUCCUAGCAAAAGACCAACAGCUUUCAUUUUCUUCAAAAUUUAAUAAUAAACUGUGGAAUAAACUAUUUUGAAAG
Molecule: long non-coding RNA, 1031 nt
Filed under: Mus pahari (shrew mouse)
Lineage: Eukaryota; Metazoa; Chordata; Mammalia; Rodentia; Muridae
Description: lncRNA (MGP_PahariEiJ_G0003862.1)
Source: RNAcentral